AGAGUUUGAUCCUGGCUCAGGACGAACGCUGGCGGCACGCUUAACACAUGCAAGUCGAACGAGAGAAGAGGAGCUUGCUUUUCUGAUCUAGUGGCGGACGGGUGAGUAACACGUGAGCAAUCUGCCUUUCAGAGGGGGAUACCGAUUGGAAACGAUCGUUAAUACCGCAUAACAUAAUUGAACCGCAUGAUUUGAUUAUCAAAGAUUUAUCGCUGAAAGAUGAGCUCGCGUCUGAUUAGCUAGUUGGUAAGGUAACGGCUUACCAAGGCGACGAUCAGUAGCCGGACUGAGAGGUUGAUCGGCCACAUUGGGACUGAGACACGGCCCAGACUCCUACGGGAGGCAGCAGUGGGGAAUAUUGCACAAUGGAGGAAACUCUGAUGCAGCGAUGCCGCGUGAGGGAAGAAGGUUUUAGGAUUGUAAACCUCUGUCUUCAGGGACGAAAAAAGACGGUACCUGAGGAGGAGGCUCCGGCUAACUACGUGCCAGCAGCCGCGGUAAUACGUAGGGAGCGAGCGUUGUCCGGAAUUACUGGGUGUAAAGGGAGCGUAGGCGGGAUCGCAAGUCAGAUGUGAAAACUAUGGGCUUAACCCAUAAACUGCAUUUGAAACUGUGGUUCCUGAGUGAAGUAGAGGUAAGCGGAGUUCCUAGUGUAGCGGUGAAAUGCGUAGAUAUUAGGAGGAACAUCAGUGGCGAAGGCGGCUUACUGGGCUUUAACUGACGCUGAGGCUCGAAAGCGUGGGGAGCAAACAGGAUUAGAUACCCUGGUAGUCCACGCCGUAAACGAUGAUUACUAGGUGUGGGGGGACUGACCCCUUCCGUGCCGCAGCAAACGCAAUAAGUAAUCCACCUGGGGAGUACGACCGCAAGGUUGAAACUCAAAGGAAUUGACGGGGGCCCGCACAAGCAGUGGAGUAUGUGGAUUAAUUCGAAGCAACGCGAAGAACCUUACCAGGUCUUGACAUCGUAUGCAUAGCUCAGAGAUGAGUGAAAUCUCUUCGGAGACAUAUAGACAGGUGGUGCAUGGUUGUCGUCAGCUCGUGUCGUGAGAUGUUGGGUUAAGUCCCGCAACGAGCGCAACCCUUACUGUUAGUUGCUACGCAAGGGCACUCUAGCAGGACUGCCGUUGACAAAACGGAGGAAGGUGGGGAUGACGUCAAAUCAUCAUGCCCCUUAUGACCUGGGCCUCACACGUACUACAAUGGCUGUCAACAGAGGGAAGCAAAGCCGCGAGGUGGAGCGAACCCCUAAAAGCAGUCUUAGUUCGGAUUGUAGGCUGCAACCCGCCUACAUGAAGUCGGAAUUGCUAGUAAUCACAGAUCAGCAUGCUGCGGUGAAUACGUUCCCGGGCCUUGUACACACCGCCCGUCACGCCAUGGGGGUCGGUAACACCCGAAGCCUGUAGUCUAACCGCAAGGAGGACGCAGUCGAAGGUGUGAUUGAUGACUGGGGUGAAGUCGUAACAAGGUA
RNAcentral lists this ribosomal RNA (1470 nucleotides) under metagenome. RNAcentral's name for it is "bacterial SSU rRNA". It matches the Rfam family "Bacterial small subunit ribosomal RNA". The record is from RNAcentral.